This 388-nucleotide unclassified non-coding RNA is filed under the name soil metagenome. RNAcentral's name for it is "partial contains 5.8S ribosomal RNA, internal transcribed spacer 2, and large subunit ribosomal RNA". The stretch from base 1 to 121 matches the Rfam family "5.8S ribosomal RNA", at positions 35 to 154 of the family's 154-position model. The record is from RNAcentral.
GAUGAAGAACGUAGCGAAUUGCGAUAUGUAAUGUGAAUUGCAGAUUUUCAGUGAAUCAUCGAAUCUUUGAACGCACCUUGCGCUCCUUGGUAUUCCGAGGAGCAUGCCUGUUUGAGUGUCAUUAUAUUCUCAACUCCCUUUGAUUUUGUCAAAGGUGAGCUUGGACCUUGGAGGCUUGCUGGUUGCAAAGUCAGCUCCUCUGAAAAGCAUUGGCAAAGGCAGAUGCAUUCCUCGGCCUUUCGGUGUGAUAAUGAUCACCGUGGCUGGCUUGCUAAUAAUGUCUAUGCCCAUAACCUUUUCCCAUUCACUUGGAGAAAGAUUUUUGACCAUUUGACCUCAAAUCAGGUAGGAUUACCCGCUGAACUUAAGAAUAUCAAUAAGCGGAGGA